Molecule: long non-coding RNA, 1119 nt
Filed under: Takifugu rubripes (torafugu)
Lineage: Eukaryota; Metazoa; Chordata; Actinopteri; Tetraodontiformes; Tetraodontidae
Description: lncRNA (ENSTRUG00000030315.1)
Source: RNAcentral
CACACACACCAACAACACUGACAACAGAAAACAAGCAUGGCGAUGCUAACAGCCUAGCAUACUGAGACAGAGACUCAGAGAUGACAGACAGAACUGACAGUUGGGAGGACUGAGAAGUGGAGGGUUAGAUAACAGCAGUCACCAGUCAGUUCUGCAGGUCCCUCUCACCCAUGAGGGUCAGAGGUCGGGGCAUGGGGCACACUUUAGUAUUCAUGUCUGGAGUCAUCCAUGCUGGGGGCAACCAAAGCCCGUUAGGGUCAGUGGGGUUAGGGUUAGUAGGGUCAGUAGGGUUAGGGUCAGUAGGGUUAGGGUCAGUAGGGUUAGGGUUAGUAGGGUUAGGGUUAGUAGGGUCAGUAGGGUCAGUAGGGUUAGGGUCAGUAGGGUCAGUAGGGUUAGGGUCAGUGGGGUUAGGGUUAGUAGGGUUAGGGUUAGUAGGGUUAGUAGGGUCAGGGUCAGUAGGGUCAGGGUCAGUAGGGUUAGGGUUAGUAGGGUCAGUAGGGUUAGGGUCAGAAGGGUCAGUAGGGUUAGGGUUAGUAGGGUCAGUAGGGUUAGGGUCAGUGGGGUUAGGGUUAGUAGGGUUAGGGUUAGUAGGGUCAGUAGGGUUAGGGUUAGUAGGGUCAGUAGGGUUAGGGUCAGAAGGGUCAGUAGGGUUAGGGUCAGAAGGGUUAGGGUCAGUAGGGUUAGGGUUAGUAGGGUUAGGGUCAGUGGGGUUAGGGUUAGUAGGGUCAGUAGGGUUAGGGUUAGUAGGGUCAGUGGGGUUAGGGUCAGAAGGGUCAGUAGGGUUAGGGUCAGAAGGGUUAGGGUCAGUAGGGUUAGGGUCAGUAGGGUCAGGAGGGUUAGUAGAGUUAGCCAAGUUUGUCUCUACGAUUGCUUGUGUUUUAUGCAGAACUGUAGCUCACACACACACACACACACACAUAUAUAUGUAUAUAUAUAUGUGUGUAGUUGUACUUCCAUCAUCUGUGAUUCCAAAUUUUGUAAUAUCUCAAUGUCCACAUCAAAAUCUGGUAUAGCAUUAGUUUCUUCACCUUUUAAGACAAGAAUAAUUAAUAUUUGCCCAGACAAAAGCAAGCAAAUAUUACCUGUUAAUACUCAGGCCUGUUUCAGUCCAACCCCAGA